This 1786-nucleotide long non-coding RNA is filed under the name Pan troglodytes (chimpanzee). Its description in RNAcentral is "long non-coding RNA NONPTRT017313". The record is from RNAcentral. Lineage: Eukaryota; Metazoa; Chordata; Mammalia; Primates; Hominidae.
CCCCCCUGCUGCUGGGCAAUGCAUGUGCGAGCUACGGCAGCAGUACAGUCCCACAUGCUCAUGGUGCCAGGAUCCUGUUCCACACCAUCAUCCAAGAGGCCCGUCAUGUCCAGCACCCGCAGCGCAUGCUUCCUGGGAGUAGGAAUGGUCUGAGGAAGGGGUCGAGGGGCAGAGCCCAUACCCCCUCCCAGCCACCUUGGGACAGGAGCAACGCGCCUGCUCCUGCAUGAGCUCUUGCUAACUUUAUGACCCAAGCCUCCUCAGGGGACCCACUUACACACCCCUGGCCUGACGACCCUUCAGAUAAGUCCAUACCUGCAGAGGGGCUGUGUGCUGGCCCCAGGCUCUGAGGUGUGGAGCCGGGCAGUCAGCCCCAGGAUAACAGCCUGCAUGCUCUCAGUGCUAGGCCGCUCCUGCAGGAGGGCACGGCUGCAGUGGGCACACUCCUGUAGCAGCUGCUGGAAACUGAGCAGCGGGAAGGGCCACGUGUGUACCAACUCGCGCAGUACCACUGUCUUCUUGUCCAUGAAGGCCACCUUGAACAGCAGGGGGAAGAGUUCGCGUGGCAGCAGGGGCAGGGCCUGGCAGGCAGCUGGCUGGCACUGCAGCACCUGCCGUGUGCUCAAGAACACAAGCGUGUGCAUGGUGCUGGGCCGGGCAGACGGCCACCUGCAGGAGAGGGACUUCAGCAGGGAGGAGAGACCCUAGGCCACUACCAAGCCACACACAAGUGGUAGGAAGGCCCAGCAUAGUGCCUGAAACAAAGUCAGCAGUUAGCAGUGGCCAUGGCACAGAGAAGCACCUAUUAGAUGCCUAGCACUGGGCUGGGUGCAGUGAACUGGCAGACAAAGUCACAACUCAGCCCCAGCCCUCCAGACGCACAGGAUGUCUUUAGAGAAACUAAGCGUCAAGCAGUGUGGCAUCGUCAACAACUCGCUUGCUUGGGUAUGCUUUUGACAGAUGCCUGUUGCCUUGCAGGGCCCCCCAUGGGUACUUCAGGCCUCUCAAAUUACAAAGCUGCUUCACAAAACCUUCUUCGAAACCUGAAUAAAGCCCAGGCCUCUCCCCACCAACCUUCAUCAGCAUUAGUAUUGACGGGACACUCCAAGGAGUCAAGCAGCCAAAUCACCUUUCCCUCCCCUCUCCUCACAGACGCUCUCCAGGGCUACACUUGGACUCCACAAAACAACAAAGAGCUGGAAGCACAGAAGCAGCUUCAUAAGCAACAAGGCAGGUUGAAAAGACCGAGACCCAGGAACACUGAGUCCGGAUGAUGUAGCCUAUGAAAUACAAGCUCCCGCAAAAGCUACUAUUCUCCAGAGCGUCACCAAGCACGGAGACCCCGAAAGAAAGCAACCCUCACCUUUGUUUGGCCCUUACCACUGGCCUAAACCUCUCCCUCUUCCCUGGAGAGCCACUGUGGAAAGACCAAGUCUUAAGUAUGUGGCAUUCGGAAGGUGCAAGGCUACAGACUGCUCAGACAAGGCAAAGAAAGCUGCCUCAGCAGCACCCAAGCUGCAGAGAUGCACAAACACUCCCAAGGCCACAAGGUACCUGUGACACAGGGUGCCAGCCCUGCUGCUGCCUGUAGCAUCCUCAAAACUAAAUCGCAGCCAUCUCCCUGUGACAGAUCAGAAAAUGAAGGCCUCGGCCUGGCCCAAGGUCACAGCCUGAGUGACAAGCCAGGGAAGGGGGCUGGGGAAGACACUCUGGCCCCAAGGCCCUUCUUUUUGUCGACUUUUCCACAUACAAGACAGACCAACCGAGCACUUGUCACGGGAGGGCA